AACGAACGCUGGCGGCAGGCCUAACACAUGCAAGUCGAGCGAACCCUUCGGGGUUAGCGGCGGACGGGUGAGUAACGCGUGGGAACGUGCCCUUUGCUACGGAAUAGCCCCGGGAAACUGGGAGUAAUACCGUAUGUGCCCUUCGGGGAAGGAUUAUCGGCAAAGGAUCGGCCCGCGUUGGAUUAGGUAGUUGGUGGGGUAAUGGCCUACCAAGCCGACGAUCCAUAGCUGGUUUGAGAGGAUGAUCAGCCACACUGGGACUGAGACACGGCCCAGACUCCUACGGGAGGCAGCAGUGGGGAAUCUUAGACAAUGGGCGCAAGCCUGAUCUAGCCAUGCCGCGUGAUCGAUGAAGGCCUUCGGUCGUAAAGACUCUGUGGGGAGAGAAGAAUAAAGCCUGUGAAGAGCAGGCCUUGACGGUAUCUCCUUAGCAAGCACCGGCUAACUCCGUGCCAG
RNAcentral lists this ribosomal RNA (456 nucleotides) under uncultured bacterium. Its description in RNAcentral is "bacterial SSU rRNA". It matches the Rfam family "Bacterial small subunit ribosomal RNA", at positions 29 to 511 of the family's 1533-position model. The record is from RNAcentral.